ACUCCUACGGGAGGCAGCAGUGGGGAAUAUUGCACAAUGGGCGCAAGCCUGAUGCAGCCAUGCCGCGUGUAUGAAGAAGGCCUUCGGGUUGUAAAGUACUUUCAGCAGUGAGGAAGGUGGGUAUGUUAAUAGCAUACUCAUUUGACGUUAGCUGCAGAAGAAGCACCGGCUAACUCCGUGCCAGCAGCCGCGGUAAUACGGAGGGUGCGAGCGUUAAUCGGAAUUACUGGGCGUAAAGCGCAUGCAGGUGGUUUGUUAAGUCAGAUGUGAAAGCCCGGGGCUCAACCUCGGAAUUGCAUUUGAAACUGGCAAACUAGAGUACUGUAGAGGGGGGUAGAAUUUCAGGUGUAGCGGUGAAAUGCGUAGAGAUCUGAAGGAAUACCGGUGGCGAAGGCGGCCCCCUGGACAGAUACUGACACUCAGAUGCGAAAGCGUGGGGAGCAAACAGGAUUAGAUACCCUGGUAAGGCCCUG
RNAcentral lists this ribosomal RNA (473 nucleotides) under uncultured bacterium. RNAcentral's name for it is "bacterial SSU rRNA". It matches the Rfam family "Bacterial small subunit ribosomal RNA", at positions 335 to 799 of the family's 1533-position model. The record is from RNAcentral.